AUCUUCUCGCGAUUACUUGCAAAAAUUGAUCAUUACAGAUGCAUAACGAGUGCGAAUUUUUAUCGGGAAUGUCGUAUAAAGUGACGGCCGUUUGUCAGAAGUGUCUAAAAAAUGACGGGCGUUUAUCAAGAGUGUUGAAUAAAGUUGCGGGCAUUUGCCGGAAUGUACAGCGCAAGUGUUCGGGAUUAUCGGUGUUUCGUUGCAAUUAUCUGGCGGCAAGAUCGUUCGUUCGAAAUUAUUUCAGUACGUGAUCACGUACUAGACGACUUUGUCGUGACCGUCAGGAUAACUAAAUCGUUUGUUUUGCUCGCUGUGUAAAUGUGUGUACAUUGUCGAACAGAUUGGAUGUGUAACGUUGUGCAUAAUUUGAUUAUACAAUAUUAUGCGUGUACGCGUUGUAGCACAAAGUGCUUUUAUCUCGCAUUUGCGUUUCGUGUAUCGUGACGUAGUAAAUUCGUGACGUAGCAAAUUCGUGACGUAGCAAAUUCGUGGCAUAGCAAAUUUGUGACAUAAAUUCAUAAUUUUUAAAAAUGAAGUGCGUGAGUUGAUUUUUGUUUGGUUAGCACAUAAGUGUGAGUUUUUCAUAUUUAUCAGAGGAGCACAGCUAAGAUAGAAUCUGCAGCGGAUAAAGUAAACUGCAAUACUCUAGCUGGUGCAGUUAAAGACACAUUUAGCUAGGGUACAACGACCGUUGGCGGAUGAUCAAAUGAGAGAUCUACGCGAUGAUGACGUCUCGGAAAUUAGCGCGACCGUGGAUAGAGAGAGAGAGAGAUGGAGAGAAAAGGGACGGAAAAAGGACGAAAACGUAACAAAAUUAGUAAUAUAAGACGAACUCGAGGUACAGCCAUGAAAAGCGAAACGCGCAUGGACUUCUGACGCUUAAGACGUAUUUUAAACAGAGUUUCAAUUGGAUUACCACGAGACCGCUUGCGUUCCGCCCUAAUCAUGAAUCAACAGCAUCUUGUGGAGAGAAACGUUGCAUCUCAGCGCUACAUUUAACUUUGAAGAUCUUGACCGCGAUUAACAUCGUUUGCGGAAAAUGAAAAAUAUUAAAUGGUCGGAGAUCAUCCGUCGCAUCGUGCCAGCACAAUUCUAGAAGAUGUAAUGUUAAACCACUAUACUGGCAGACAGUCGUCGAUCUUAUCAGCGUUGGCAUCCUGAGCAGGGUCAAUCACCACAGCGAGGCAGUAUCCGAUGAGGAAUG
This is a non-coding RNA of Linepithema humile (Argentine ant), 1204 nucleotides long. Lineage: Eukaryota; Metazoa; Arthropoda; Insecta; Hymenoptera; Formicidae. The record is from RefSeq and is a predicted model, not a curated record.